AACAAACGCUGGCGGCGUGCCUAAUACAUGCAAGUCGAACGGGGAAAGCUUUCGGGUGAGUACUAGUGGCGCACGGGUGAGUAACGCGUGGAUAAUCUGCCCUCGAAUGGGGAAUAACUAGUCGAAAGAUUAGCUAAUACCGCAUAAGACCACGACUACUGAGGUAGUUGGGGUCAAAGGAGCAAUUCGUUUGAGGAUGAGUCCGCGUAAGAUUAGCUAGUUGGUGAGGUAAUGGCUCACCAAGGCGAUGAUCUUUAACUGGUCUGAGAGGAUGACCAGUCACACUGGAACUGAGACACGGUCCAGAGUCCUACGGGAGGCAGCAGUAGGGAAUAUUGGACAAUGGGGGCAACCCUGGUCCAGCGACGCCGCGUGAGCGAUGAAGGCCUUCGGGUCGUAAAGCUCUGUUGUAAGGGAAAAAGUUCUGAUUGUACCUUACGAGAAAGGAUCGGCUAACUCCGUGCCAGCCGCCGCGGUAA
This 479-nucleotide ribosomal RNA is filed under the name uncultured bacterium. Its description in RNAcentral is "partial 16S ribosomal RNA". It matches the Rfam family "Bacterial small subunit ribosomal RNA", at positions 29 to 523 of the family's 1533-position model. The record is from RNAcentral.